GACGAACGCUGGCGGCGUGCUUAACACAUGCAAGUCGAACGGAAAGGCCUCUUUCGGGGGGUACUCGAGUGGCGAACGGGUGAGUAACACGUGAGUAACCUGCCCUUGACUUUGGGAUAACUUCAGGAAACUGGGGCUAAUACCGGAUAGGAGCUCCUGCUGCAUGGUGGGGGUUGGAAAGUUUCGGCGGUUGGGGAUGGACUCGCGGCUUAUCAGCUUGUUGGUGGGGUAGUGGCUUACCAAGGCUUUGACGGGUAGCCGGCCUGAGAGGGUGACCGGCCACAUUGGGACUGAGAUACGGCCCAGACUCCUACGGGAGGCAGCAGUGGGGAAUAUUGCACAAUGGGUGGAAGCCUGAUGCAGCAACGCCGUGUGCGGGAUGACGGCCUUCGGGUUGUAAACCGCUUUCGCUCAUGACGAAGCUUUGUGUGACGGUAGUGGGUAAAGAAGCACCGACUAACUACGUG
This 467-nucleotide ribosomal RNA is filed under the name uncultured bacterium. RNAcentral describes it as "partial 16S ribosomal RNA". It matches the Rfam family "Bacterial small subunit ribosomal RNA", at positions 28 to 507 of the family's 1533-position model. The record is from RNAcentral.